AACUGACCUUGGCGGGCAUCAGAAUGAUGAGUGGCAGCAGCAGGAGCGGGGUGACGAACAAGAUCACGAAGGACUUGAACUUGGCGACAUAGCUCAGCGCCGAGGCCAUCGCGCGGAAGGGAGACUGACGGGAGAGACGAAGGAAAACGGAGGUCUAGAGAGGAAGGGACACUACUAAGGCGACUCUGAGACAGUCACCCAUAUGUUCAUUCAGCCCGCCAGGCAACAUACAGACUGGACGUGUCUCAGUCCGGAAAACUCAACACAUCCUGAAUCAAGCUCAUGAGUCCCUUCCUGUGACCUGCACCCAAGGACACACAUUCCUCCAAACCCCUUCUUCAAUUGCCUCCCUCAUGCCCCCUCUCUAAUUCUCAUUCAUAGAACCCUGGGUUUUCCUCUUUCCUCUUUUCACCAGGGCACUCAGCAUAAUUUGUACCUCUUAUAUUUAUUGGUGUAAUUUUUAUUUUUUAUUUUUUUUAAAGUAAAAUAAAAAUAUAAAAUAAAAAUAAUUGACAAAUAAUUGUCUAUAUUUAUGAAGUACCAUGUGAUUUUUCAGUGUAUGUAUAAUUGUGGCAGGAUCAAAUCAGGCUAAUGAGCAUAUUCAUCACUCAAAUAUUUAUCAAAUAUUUCAUUUCUUUGUGGUGACAACAUUUAAAAUAUCUUAUAGCUUUUUAAAAAUAUAUGAUGCAUUAUUAUGAUGUCAUUUCUAUCUACUGUCUGCUUUAUUCAUCACUGCCUAUCCAGCUAGCACCUUUCCCAGUGCCUGACCCAGGGUGUGCACUCAAACCUUUUUCUCUGGGAUGAAUGAAUGAGAGCAAGUAAACAUCUUCAGUUAUUAUUAUUUUUUUAACUUUACUUAAGUUCUGGGAUACAUGCCCUGAAUGUGCAGGUUUGUUACAUAGGUAUACACAUGCCAUGGUGGUUUGCUCCACCUAUCAACCUGAUAUCUAGGUUUUAAGUCCCAUAUGCAUUAGGUAUUUGUCCUAAUGCUCUCCCUCCCCUUGCCCCCCAGCCCCUGACAGCCCCCAGUGUGUGAUGUCCCCCUCCCUGUGUCCACCAUGUGUUCUCAUUGUUCGACUCCAACUUAUAAGUGAGAACAUUCAGUGUUUGGUUUCCUGUUCCUGUGUUAGUAUGCUGAGAAUGAUGACUUCCAGCUUCAUCCAUGUCCCUGCAAAGGACAUGAGCUCAUUAUUUUUUGUGACUGCAUUAUAUUCCAUGGUAUAUAUGUGCCACAUUUUCGUUAUCCAGUCAAUCACGAUGGGCAUUCGGGUUGGUUUUAAGUCUUUGCUAUUGUAAUUAGUGCUGCAAUAAACAUAUGUGUGCAUGUG
This is a long non-coding RNA of Callithrix jacchus (white-tufted-ear marmoset), 1328 nucleotides long. RefSeq lists it as uncharacterized. NCBI's taxonomy places the organism in Eukaryota, Metazoa, Chordata, Mammalia, Primates, Cebidae. The record is from RefSeq and is a predicted model, not a curated record.